CAGGAAAUAGUUUAUUUAAAAUAUUAAUUUUGGAGAUUAAAGAUAGGCAUUAAGUUUUUUCCUGA
This 65-nucleotide transfer RNA is filed under the name Curculionoidea sp. 22 KM-2017. RNAcentral's name for it is "tRNA-Pro". The record is from RNAcentral. Lineage: Eukaryota; Metazoa; Arthropoda; Insecta; Coleoptera.